GAAGAAGAAGAAGAAGAAGAAUAAAAGGCCAAGAAGAUUGUUUAGGAUGGAAAAUGUUGAACCAUAUAUUGUAUCAUGAGUCAUGACAGAAAUUGAACAUCUCCUUUCUUGGCAAAGACGAUAAGCUUUGAAGGAUGAAAAGAAAGGAAAGUAAAGAAGAUUACAGUUAUCAUAUUAUAAAAUUUUUUCAAGAAAAAAAAAAAA
This 204-nucleotide unclassified non-coding RNA is filed under the name Hevea brasiliensis (rubber tree). The record is from RNAcentral. Lineage: Eukaryota; Viridiplantae; Streptophyta; Magnoliopsida; Malpighiales; Euphorbiaceae.